CCUACGGGGGGCAGCAGUGAGGAAUAUUGGUCAAUGGACGAGAGUCUGAACCAGCCAAGUAGCGUGAAGGAUGACUGCCCUAUGGGUUGUCAACUUCUUUUAUAAAGGAAUAAAACGAGGCACGUGUGCCUUUUUGCAUGUACUUUAUGAAUAAGGAUCGGCUAACUCCGUGCCAGCAGCCGCGGUAAUACGGAGGAUCCGAGCGUUAUCCGGAUUUAUUGGGUUUAAAGGGAGCGUAGAUGGGUUGUUAAGUCAGUUGUGAAAGUUUGCGGCUCAACCCGGGCCUUGCAGCGCGAACUGGCGUGCUUGAGUCCGCGGAAAGCAGGCGGAAUUCGUCGUGUAGCGGUGAAAUGCUUAGAUAUGACGAAGAACCCCGAUUGCGAAGGCAGCUUGCUGCAGCGGAACUGACGCUGAUGCUCGAAAGCGCGGGUAUCGAACAGGAUUAGAUACCCUAGUAGUC
Molecule: ribosomal RNA, 460 nt
Filed under: uncultured bacterium
Lineage: Bacteria
Description: partial 16S ribosomal RNA
Rfam family: Bacterial small subunit ribosomal RNA
Source: RNAcentral